Molecule: ribosomal RNA, 410 nt
Filed under: uncultured bacterium
Lineage: Bacteria
Description: bacterial SSU rRNA
Rfam family: Bacterial small subunit ribosomal RNA
Source: RNAcentral
UAGGGAAUAUUGGACAAUGGGGGCAACCCUGAUCCAGCCAUGCCGCGUGAGUGAAGAAGGCCCUCGGGUUGUAAAGCUCUUUUGUCCGGAAAGAAAAGCUUCGGGUUAAUACCCCGGGGUUCUGACGGUACCGGAAGAAUAAGCACCGGCUAACUUCGUGCCAGCAGCCGCGGUAAUACGAAGGGUGCAAGCGUUACUCGGAAUUACGGGGCGAAAAGCGUGCGUAGGUGGUUGUUUAAGUCUGAUGUGAAAGCCCUGGGCUCAACCUAGGAAUGGCAUUGGAAUCUGGGCAGCUAGAGUGCGGUAGAGGGUAGUGGAAUUCCCGGUGUAGCAGUGAAAUGCGUAGAGAUCGGGUGGAACAUCUGUGGCGAAGGCGACUGCCUGGACCAGCACUGACACUGAGGCACGAA